Labrus bergylta (ballan wrasse) is the source of this 524-nucleotide non-coding RNA. NCBI's taxonomy places the organism in Eukaryota, Metazoa, Chordata, Actinopteri, Labriformes, Labridae. The record is from the annotation of a RefSeq genome assembly.
AUGAUGGACUAUAGGACAGGACUGCUGCUUUUUACUGUCUGCUGGGCAGGUGUUGAUGGUCAGACUCUGACAGAAUCUGAAGCAGUGGUUAAAAGUCCUGGAGAAUCCCACAGACUGACCUGUUCAGCCUCUGGAUUCACAUUCAGCAGCUACGCUAUGAACUGGGUCAGACAGGCUCCUGGAAAAGGACUGGAGUGGAUCGCUACUAUUAGUAGUGGUAGUGGUAGCAGCCAAUACUACUCUAAUUCAGUCAAAAGCCGGUUCACCAUCUCCAGAGACAACAGCAGACAGCAGCUGUAUCUGCAGAUGAACAGUCUGCAAGCUGAAGAUUCUGCUGUUUAUUACUGUGCUCGAGAGCCACAGUGACUGCAGUUGGUUGAGCAGAUGUACAAAAUCCUACAGGACUUGUUUUGACUUGACCGAGAGAUCCUACAAUACAAUUAUAUUCUCAGUUAAUGCAUAAUAAAUUGGCCCUGAAAAACAAUUUCAAUGAACAACAAUAUUCUUUAAUCAUUUGACAAAAA